This 400-nucleotide ribosomal RNA is filed under the name uncultured bacterium. Its description in RNAcentral is "bacterial SSU rRNA". It matches the Rfam family "Bacterial small subunit ribosomal RNA", at positions 355 to 747 of the family's 1533-position model. The record is from RNAcentral.
UGGGGAAUAUUGGACAAUGGGGGCAACCCUGAUCCAGCAAUACCGCGUGUGUGAAGAAGGCCUUCGGGUUGUAAAGCACUUUAGGUUGGGAAGAAGUUGCGUAGUUUAAGAGAUAAUGCAAUUGACGGUACCAACAGAAUAAGCACCGGCUAACUCUGUGCCAGCAGCCGCGGUAAUACAGAGGGUGCAAGCGUUAAUCGGAGUUACUGGGCGUAAAGGGCGCGUAGGCGGUUGUAUAAGUGAGAUGUGAAAUCCCUGGGCUUAACCUAGGAACUGCAUCUUAUACUGUAUGACUAGAGUAUUGUAGAGGGUAGUGGAAUUUCCGGUGUAGCGGUGAAAUGCGUAGAGAUCGGAAGGAACACCAGUGGCGAAGGCGGCUACCUGGACAAAUACUGACGCU